CAGGAUGGGGAAGGUUAUUAAGGGAAAAGGUGAAUGGCUGGUGCCUCCAAAGCUGGGUACCCUUGUUUCCUGCUCUGUGACUAAAGAUUCUUAAUCACAUAUUCCACCCAAACCCCAGCAGCUUGCCUCAGGAAAUGGAGGAAUCAGUCCCGGGAGCCCAGGAUUGCUUAACUCAAAAGUAGCCAAGACAGGAGACUCAUAAUGUGGGGCCAGGUUGCCUUAUAAACAUCCCUGGAGCUUGCCUACCUGGGCUACUACGAACUGAUUAAAAUGUCAUCAUAUGAAUGGUGUUUGUUAUUGCUUCUCAGCCUUUUGGUUAAGAUCAAGUGUAGUAUGAAUGGUGUUUGCUGGAUUCAGGCAGUGUUCAACCCUCACUUAUCACACAGAGUGGCCCGAACACUUCAUUUUGAUCAAUGUAUAAAAUUUAUUUUUGUGACAAGUAAAAGAACACUGCAGGUCUUUUGACAUGGAAUAAAGUGAGGUACAAAUUGCUGUGGGUAAGAGACAGUUGGGGCCAAAGGAAGAUCACUGGUUUAUGGAGACUUGGGAGAAUCUGCCUCCUAAGAAUAAAAUAAAUCAGCCAGGGGCAGUCAACAGUCCUUCCUUCAUCAAGAAAUGGCACAGAAGGGCAGCCAAGAGGUUAUCCUAUGAGCAUUGUUAUGUCACAGUAGGAAUUGGAGUCGGGGGGAGGGGACGGGGUUGGGGGGAAUUACCAUUAGCAGUUGAAGUGGUAGGAAAUUUUUACAUAGGAGAGUAUGGUGAUCAUAUUUGCAUUUUAGAAAAUAAUGGAUAGCAGUUUGUUAGGGGAACAAAGGACAGAGACAGGGAGACUAUUUAAAACAUUAAUAAAAAAUACCAGUGACAGAUGAUGAGGCACCUACCUGAUGGGAAUGGAGAAGAGGAGAUGGAUUCAGAAACUACUUAGGAGGUACAGUCAUCAAGAUCUAGAUGACUAAUUGCAUGUAGGGGGUAAAAAAGUAGGAAGAAGAGAGGAUGAUGACUCCUGCAUUUCUGGCUUGGGAAAGUGGUUAGAUUGUGGGCUGGAUGUGUGCAUGAUUAUGUGUGUGUAGCUGAAAAGGCAAUUUAGCUUUGCAACUGUUGAAGUGAAUAUGGACCAUAGACAUAGAUAUCCCUAGGUAGCUGAAUAUGUAGCCUGCAAAUCAGGAGAAAAUUCUAGGUGAAGAUGGUAAUUGCGAAUCAUCAGAGUCUAUAUGAGGCAGGCAGUCCAAGGCUGAUGCCCAAAGAAGCCAUCAAGACCCGUGCUACUUCCAGCUCCUUCUGUCCUCAUAAUCAUAGAUGAUUGCUCCACAUCCAGCACCUAACACCAGUACUCAGUUAAAUUUUUUGCUGAAUAAAUCAAUGAAUGGAGAGGUAAAGAGGAACCAGAAGUUGGGGUUACAGAAGUCACUGAUGGAAGAGUUUCAAGAUAGUAGAAGUGGUCAGCCCUGUUAAGUGACAAGCCAAGGACUGAAGAAAGACUGGCAGAUUUGGCAAUCAGAUGAAGUGACCUGACCAAAGAGCAGCUUGUGUGAAGUAGUGAGGACAGGCGCUGGUCUGCGACUGGUUUAGGAGGAAAUGGAAAUGAAGAAGAAGAGAUAGGAAAGUGGAGAUUAUAUGAUGACAAGUAUCAAGAUAAAAAUGAACACAUUUGGCCUGCUACCUGAAUUUUUUAAAUCGGCUCACCAAAAAAUAUCAGGCUUAUUGAAAUAUUGGAAUAUCUGAUGAAGUUUCCUCUUAUCUUUGAGCUGUUUGGGUUUGGGUAAAAUUUCAAUGCUUAAAAUUCACGUCUACAACUAGCAGGCAGAACCUUAAAGUCCAGAACCAUUAAAGGGUUUAAUAAUGGUGAGGCAUAUGAUGAUGCUGAUGAUGAUAAUGUUUCUUUCUUUCUUUUGUGAUCUUAAUCACUGUGUGAUCUUAACUAGUUUGAAAUGAGAAUUUCAAUGGAGACAGUAGUGUAAAUUUACCAACAGAACAAUUACAGUCGUGACAAAACAAAAACUAUACAAGCAUAUUUUUGUUCAUUCUAUAAAUUUGUACUGAGUACUUUAUAUACACUAGGCAUUCUGACAGAUAUAAUUAUGUGGGUAUAAAAUUUAGUUUAUUUGAUAGUUGCUUUCCCCACCGCCUCCAGAAAUUCUUGAUUUAGUUGGUAAAGAAAAUCAGUUAAGCAAAUAAGUUCACUAUUUGUAGAAGUGUAGAUGGGUUAUGGUGGGGGCACAAAAUAAUAAAAUAAUGUAUUUAAAACUAUUUUCACAUCUGUGAAAAGCUCUAUACAUCUGUGGCAUUAAGACUAAAGAGAAUGGUAUCAAGUCAUAGCUGCUUUCUAGAAAACAUGCAUGAGACAUUUAGGACCUCUGCAUAUUACCACUGAGUUGUUUUUCUUUUAAGGGGCUACAAAGGAGUAUGUUCAGCAUGAUCUUAUUUUUAUUAAAAUUAUACUUUCUAUACAGAAAAAGACUAUAAAAAUACACACUUAAAACAUUAGCAGUGACCCACAGCUAGUAUCAUACUGAAUGGGGAAUAACUAAAAGCCUUUUCUCCAUGAUCUAGAACACAACAAAAAUGCCCAUUUUUACCACUAUUAUUCAACUUAGUACUGGAAGUUCUAGCUAGGGCAAUCAGACACGAGAAUGAAAUAAAAUGCAUCCAAAUUUGAAAGGAAGAAGUGAAA
This 2671-nucleotide long non-coding RNA is filed under the name Homo sapiens (human). Its description in RNAcentral is "HSALNT0303074". The record is from RNAcentral. Lineage: Eukaryota; Metazoa; Chordata; Mammalia; Primates; Hominidae.